AAAAUGGUGGCAAUUUGUUUGGAUCGGAUGAAAGGCAGAGAAGUCACGAUCUUGCUUCACAUGGUGUAAUGCUACUCCAGACUGCCUUAUCUGAGAAGCCUGGGAAUGCAAAUGAAGGUAGAGUCGUAAGGAAGCCAUUAUCUGACAUUGGCAAUAGCUUGGUAAGUGUUGGUCUUAUGCCAUUAGAAGAGAGUUUCCCCCCCCCCCCCCCAAACCCCCCCCCCAAAAAAAAAAUAAUUUGUGUUUUAAAUUUGGUUUUCACAAUGUUUGAAAUUCUUCAGGCAAAAUCCGGCGCACCAAAACAGAAUAUCAGGAAAAAAUGGCGCAAGUCGGUUAUUCAACUUGUACCUGCUACGCCACCUGUGCCUCAACCUCAGAAUGUUGAAGUGCCAGAACAGUCAAAAGCUAAUGCAGAGCAGUCAAAAGCUAAUGCAGAAAGUGACAUUCC
This 448-nucleotide long non-coding RNA is filed under the name Erythranthe guttata (spotted monkey flower). RNAcentral describes it as "long non-coding RNA (EGUT_LNC001235)". Lineage: Eukaryota; Viridiplantae; Streptophyta; Magnoliopsida; Lamiales; Phrymaceae. The record is from RNAcentral.